RNAcentral lists this ribosomal RNA (291 nucleotides) under uncultured Anaerococcus sp. RNAcentral describes it as "partial 16S ribosomal RNA". It matches the Rfam family "Bacterial small subunit ribosomal RNA", at positions 505 to 796 of the family's 1533-position model. The record is from RNAcentral. Lineage: Bacteria; Bacillati; Bacillota; Tissierellia; Tissierellales; Peptoniphilaceae.
GUGUCAGCCGCCGCGGUAAUACGUAAGGACCGAGCGUUGUCCGAAAUCAUUGGGCGUAAAGGGUACGUAGGCGGCCAGAAAAGUUAGAGGUCAAAGGCUAUAGCUCAACUAUAGUAAGCUUCUAAAACUAUUUAGCUUGAGAGAUGGAAGGGAAAGUGGAAUUCCUAGUGUAGCGGUGGAAUGCGCAGAUAUUAGGAGGAAUACCGGUGGCGAAGGCGACUUUCUGGCCAUUUUCUGACGCUGAGGUACGAAAGCGUGGGUAGCAAACAGGAUUAGAAACCCUAGUAGUCC